Molecule: ribosomal RNA, 1644 nt
Filed under: Triticum aestivum (bread wheat)
Lineage: Eukaryota; Viridiplantae; Streptophyta; Magnoliopsida; Poales; Poaceae
Description: partial small subunit ribosomal RNA
Source: RNAcentral
AUGGACGCGCCUCCCCCCACGCAGCCGGACGCGGCGGCGCCGCCCCCCUCAACAGCGGCUGCGGCUCCCCCUGCCGCGCCGCCGCCCGAUCUCGCGCCUCCCGUUUCCACCGCCGCGCCACCCACCUCCGAACCCACGCCCGCUCCUGCCCCCGCCCCAGCUCCCGCCCCCGCCCCCGCCCCANNNNNNNAGCCCCCAACUCCGAUCCCCGCUACCGCGCGGCCGCCGGCGCCUCGCAUGAGGCCGCCGUACACCCACCUAGCCUCGCCCAUCACGAUGUCCUCCUCCUCCUCUGCCGCCACAGCAGGGGCCUCCUCCGCGGCUUCUGCAAUGGCAAGGGGAGGGGUUGCGAUUGGGUUGCCUGCGCACCCGCGUGGGGCGCAGACCCCGAUGGGCUAUACGGGGUUCGUGCCGCCGCCGCCGCUCGCCCAUCAAUUCAGCCCUAUGCAUCGCGGCCCCGACCAGGCCCCGCUGCCCACUCCACAGCUUAGGCAACCUGCCCCGGGGAUCCAGAAUAUUGGGAUGAUUGGUUCCCUUAACGCGUCUCAGAUGAGACCAGGAGCAGUAUCUGGUUCGCAACAGCCAAGGCCAGGUCUUCCAUCAUCAGCGACACCAUCUUCGUCUGGUAGCCAAAUGCCAGGUUCACAAAAAACCCCCAUGCAUUCUUUAACAAGACCAAUGUCUAUGGGUUCCCCUGCGACGGCUUUACAGCAAACUCCGGCAAAUAUGUCUUCACCAUUUAGGCCACAACAAAGGCCACAAGUUCCACAACAAAGGCCACAAGUUCCACAACCAAGGCCACAAGUUCCACAACCAAGACCAUACCAUGCUGCACAAUCUGCACCUGUAACUUCUCAACAGAAUGCACUUUCAGGACAGCAGCAGCUACCUCAGCAGCAACCUCAGCAUCAGCAUCAGCAGCAGCAACAGCAAGUUUUGCAGCAGCAGCAGCAGCAGCAACAGCAAGUUUUGCAGCAGCAGCAACAACAGCAAGUUUUACAGCAGCAGCAGCAGCAGCAACAACAACAACAGCAGCAGCAACAGCAACAGCAGCAAAGUCAACCACAGAGUUCCUCACAGCAAAAUCAGCAAAAUACAACACUAAAAAACCAGCAGCAAGCUGCUCGGACUCCUGUCUCAUUGACUCAGAAGCCUGAUUCUCCAGCCACACUACAAGCUACUAAUAUGCAGCUUGUGGACAUGGCUUCUGCCGAUGCAGCUUCUGGUGAAUCCAGUAAUCGGCUACUCUCCAAGAGGAGUAUUCAUGAUUUACUUGCACAGAUCGACCCUUCGGAAAGGCUGGAUCCUGACGUUGAAGAUGUUCUUAUUGACAUUGCAGAAGAUUUUAUUGAAUCUGUCGGAACAUUUGCUUGUUCUUUAGCAAAGCAUAGAAAGUCGACUACUUUGGAAGCCAAAGAUGUACUCCUUCAUGCAGAGAGAAGCUGGAAUAUCACCUUGCCAGGUUUCACCGGGGAUGAAAUAAAACUAUACAAGAAGCCGCAUGUCAACGAUAUUCACAGGGAGAGGCUUACUCUGAUCAAGAAGUCAAUGGCGAGUGAAGGGAACAUAAAGACCUCUGCUGCCCAAUCUACAGCCAACCAGAAAAAUCAGGCUCCAAAGCCACCUGCCACAGGUUCUCCGUGA